RNAcentral lists this ribosomal RNA (273 nucleotides) under uncultured bacterium. RNAcentral's name for it is "partial 16S ribosomal RNA". It matches the Rfam family "Bacterial small subunit ribosomal RNA", at positions 524 to 796 of the family's 1533-position model. The record is from RNAcentral.
UACGUAGGGUGCGAGCGUUGUCCGGAUUUAUUGGGCGUAAAGGGCUCGUAGGCGGCCUGUUGCGUCUGCCGUGAAAUUCUGUGGCUUAACCUCGGACGUGCGGUGGAUACGGGCAGGCUAGAGUCCGGUUGGGGAGACUGGAAUUCCUGGUGUAGCGGUGGAAUGCGCAGAUAUCAGGAGGAACACCGGUGGCGAAGGCGGGUCUCUGGGCCGGUACUGACGCUGAGGAGCGAAAGCGUGGGGAGCGAACAGGAUUAGAAACCCCAGUAGUCC